Molecule: ribosomal RNA, 460 nt
Filed under: uncultured bacterium
Lineage: Bacteria
Description: partial 16S ribosomal RNA
Rfam family: Bacterial small subunit ribosomal RNA
Source: RNAcentral
CCUACGGGAGGCAGCAGUGAGGAAUAUUGGUCAAUGGACGAGAGUCUGAACCAGCCAAGUAGCGUGAAGGAUGACUGCCCUAUGGGUUGUAAACUUCUUUUAUAAAGGAAUAAAACGAGGCACGUGUGCCUUUUUGCAUGUACUUUAUGAAUAAGGAUCGGCUAACUCCGUGCCAGCAGCCGCGGUAAUACGGAGGAUCCGAGCGUUAUCCGGAUUUCUUGGGUUUAAAGGGAGCGUAGAUGGGUUGUUAAGUCAGUUGUGAAAGUUUGCGGCUCAACCGUAAAAUUGCAAUUGAUACUGGCAGUCUUGAGUACAGUUGAGGUAGGCGGAAUUCGUGGUGUAGCGGUGAAAUGCUUAGAUAGCACGAAGAACCCCGAUUGCGAAGGCAGCUUACUAAACUGUGACUGACAUUGAUGCUCGAAAGUGUGGGUAUCAAACAGGAUUAGAUACCCCAGUAGUC